RNAcentral lists this ribosomal RNA (318 nucleotides) under uncultured eukaryote. RNAcentral's name for it is "partial 18S ribosomal RNA". It matches the Rfam family "Eukaryotic small subunit ribosomal RNA", at positions 1470 to 1796 of the family's 1831-position model. The record is from RNAcentral.
CCCUUAGAUGUUCUGGGCCGCACGCGCGCUACACUGAUUCAUGCACUAAGUAUAUAACCUUGGUAGAAAUGCUUGGGUAAUCUUCGAAACUGAAUCGUGCUGGGGAUUGGAGCUUGUAAUUAUUCUCCAUGAACGAGGAGUUCCUAGUAAACGCGAGUCAUCAGCUCGCAUUGAUUACGUCCCUGCCCUUUGUACACACCGCCCGUCGCACCUACCGAUUGAAUGGUCCGGUGAAAUCUUCGGACCGCGCAACGCCGCAAGGUGAUGCGUGGAAAGUUGCUUAAACCUUACCAUUUAGAGGAAGGUGAAGUCGUAACA